This is a non-coding RNA of Malassezia cuniculi, 101 nucleotides long. The record is from the annotation of a GenBank genome assembly. NCBI's taxonomy places the organism in Eukaryota, Fungi, Basidiomycota, Malasseziomycetes, Malasseziales, Malasseziaceae.
GGCCUCUUAACUCAGUUGGUUAGAGUAUCACGUUAACAGGAUUACAAAGCCUGAAAACGGUUGAUCCGUGAAAGUCCCCGGUUCGAGUCCGGGAGAGGUCA